UACGUAGGGUGCGAGCGUUAAUCGGAUUUACUGGGCGUAAAGCGUGCGCAGGCGGCCCGUUAAGACAGGUGUGAAAUCCCUGGGCUCAACCUAGGAAUUGCGCUUGUGACUGGCGGGCUCGAGUACGGUAGAGGGGGGUGGAAUUCCUGGUGUAUCAGUGAAAUGCGUAGAGAUCAGGAGGAACACCGAUGGCGAAGGCAGCCCCCUGGGCCUGUACUGACGCUCAUGCACGAAAGCGUGGGGAGCAAACAGG
RNAcentral lists this ribosomal RNA (253 nucleotides) under uncultured microorganism. RNAcentral's name for it is "partial 16S ribosomal RNA". It matches the Rfam family "Bacterial small subunit ribosomal RNA", at positions 524 to 776 of the family's 1533-position model. The record is from RNAcentral.